CAGCAGCCGCGGUAAUACGAAGGGUGCAAGCGUUAAUCGGAAUUACUGGGCGUAAAGCGUGCGUAGGCGGUUUGUUAAGUCUGCUGUGAAAUCCCCGGGCUCAACCUGGGAAUGGCAGUGGAUACUGGCAAGCUAGAGUGUGUCAGAGGAUGGUGGAAUUCCCGGUGUAGCGGUGAAAUGCGUAGAGAUCGGGAGGAACAUCAGUGGCGAAGGCGGCCAUCUGGGACAACACUGACGCUGAGGCACGAAAGCGUGGGGGGCAAACAGGAUUAGAUACCCCGGUAGUCCCUGUCUCUUAUAC
This 301-nucleotide ribosomal RNA is filed under the name uncultured bacterium. RNAcentral's name for it is "partial 16S ribosomal RNA". It matches the Rfam family "Bacterial small subunit ribosomal RNA", at positions 509 to 807 of the family's 1533-position model. The record is from RNAcentral.